AAGGUUAAGCCUCACGGUUCAUUAGUACCGGUUAGCUCAACGCAUCGCUGCGCUUACACACCCGGCCUAUCAACGUCGUCGUCUUCAACGUUCCUUCAGGACCCUUAAAGGGUCAGGGAGAACUCAUCUCGGGGCAAGUUUCGUGCUUAGAUGCUUUCAGCACUUAUCUCUUCCGCAUUUAGCUACCGGGCAGUGCCAUUGGCAUGACAACCCGAACACCAGUGAUGCGUCCACUCCGGUCCUCUCGUACUAGGAGCAGCCCCCCUCAGUUCUCCAGCGCCCACGGCAGAUAGGGACCGAACUGUCUCACGACGUUCUAAACCCAGCUCGCGUACCACUUUAAAUGGCGAACAGCCAUACCCUUGGGACCUACUUCAGCCCCAGGAUGUGAUGAGCCGACAUCGAGGUGCCAAACACCGCCGUCGAUAUGAACUCUUGGGCGGUAUCAGCCUGUUAUCCCCGGAGUACCUUUUAUCCGUUGAGCGAUGGCCCUUCCAUUCAGAACCACCGGAUCACUAUGACCUGCUUUCGCACCUGCUCGCGCCGUCACGCUCGCAGUCAAGCUGGCUUAUGCCAUUGCACUAACCUCCUGAUGUCCGACCAGGAUUAGCCAACCUUCGUGCUCCUCCGUUACUCUUUAGGAGGAGACCGCCCCAGUCAAACUACCCACCAGACACUGUCCGCAACCCGGAUUACGGGUCAACGUUAGAACAUCAAACAUUAAAGGGUGGUAUUUCAAGGUCGGCUCCAUGCAGACUGGCGUCCACACUUCUAAGCCUCCCACCUAUCCUACACAUCAAGGCUCAAUGUUCAGUGUCAAGCUAUAGUAAAGGUUCACGGGGUCUUUCCGUCUUGCCGCGGGUACACUGCAUCUUCACAGCGAGUUCAAUUUCACUGAGUCUCGGGUGGAGACAGCCUGGCCAUCAUUACGCCAUUCGUGCAGGUCGGAACUUACCCGACAAGGAAUUUCGCUACCUUAGGACCGUUAUAGUUACGGCCGCCGUUUACCGGGGCUUCGAUCAAGAGCUUCGCUUGCGCUAACCCCAUCAAUUAACCUUCCGGCACCGGGCAGGCGUCACACCGUAUACGUCCACUUUCGUGUUUGCACAGUGCUGUGUUUCUAAUAAACAGUUGCAGCCAGCUGGUAUCUUCGACUGAUUUCAGCUCCAUCCGCGAGGGACCUCACCUACAUAUCAGCGUGCCUUCUCCCGAAGUUACGGCACCAUUUUGCCUAGUUCCUUCACCCGAGUUCUCUCAAGCGCCUUGGUAUUCUCUACCUGACCACCUGUGUCGGUUUGGGGUACGAUUUGAUGUUACCUGAUGCUUAGAGGCUUUUCCUGGAAGCAGGGCAUUUGUUGCUUCAGCACCGUAGUGCCUCGUCAUCACGCCUCAGCCUUGAUUUUCCGGAUUUGCCUGGAAAACCAGCCUACACGCUUAAACCGGGACAACCGUCGCCCGGCCAACAUAGCCUUCUCCGUCCCCCCUUCGCAGUAACACCAAGUACAGGAAUAUUAACCUGUUUCCCAUCGACUACGCCUUUCGGCCUCGCCUUAGGGGUCGACUCACCCUGCCCCGAUUAACGUUGGACAGGAACCCUUGGUCUUCCGGCGAGCGGGCUUUUCACCCGCUUUAUCGUUACUUAUGUCAGCAUUCGCACUUCUGAUACCUCCAGCAUGCCUCACAGCACACCUUCACAGGCUUACAGAACGCUCCCCUACCCAACAACACAUAGUGUCGCUGCCGCAGCUUCGGUGCAUGGUUUAGCCCCGUUACAUCUUCCGCGCAGGCCGACUCGACCAGUGAGCUAUUACGCUUUCUUAAAUGAUGGCUGCUUCUAAGCCAACAUCCUGGCUGUCUGGGCCUUCCCACAUCGUUUCCCACUUAACCAUGACUUUGGGACCUUAGCUGGCGGUCUGGGUUGUUUCCCUCUUCACGACGGACGUUAGCACCCGCCGUGUGUCUCCCGUGAUAACAUUCUCCGGUAUUCGCAGUUUGCAUCGGGUUGGUAAGUCGGGAUGACCCCCUUGCCGAAACAGUGCUCUACCCCCGGAGAUGAAUUCACGAGGCGCUACCUAAAUAGCUUUCGGGGAGAACCAGCUAUCUCCCGGUUUGAUUGGCCUUUCACCCCCAGCCACAAGUCAUCCGCUAAUUUUUCAACAUUAGUCGGUUCGGUCCUCCAGUUAGUGUUACCCAACCUUCAACCUGCCCAUGGCUAGAUCACCGGGUUUCGGGUCUAUACCCUGCAACUUAACGCCCAGUUAAGACUCGGUUUCCCUUCGGCUCCCCUAUUCGGUUAACCUUGCUACAGAAUAUAAGUCGCUGACCCAUUAUACAAAAGGUACGCAGUCACACGCCUAAGCGUGCUCCCACUGCUUGUACGUACACGGUUUCAGGUUCUUUUUCACUCCCCUCGCCGGGGUUCUUUUCGCCUUUCCCUCACGGUACUGGUUCACUAUCGGUCAGUCAGGAGUAUUUAGCCUUGGAGGAUGGUCCCCCCAUAUUCAGACAGGAUACCACGUGUCCCGCCCUACUCAUCGAGCUCACAGCAUGUGCAUUUUUGUGUACGGGGCUGUCACCCUGUAUCGCGCGCCUUUCCAGACGCUUCCACUAACACACACACUGAUUCAGGCUCUGGGCUGCUCCCCGUUCGCUCGCCGCUACUGGGGGAAUCUCGGUUGAUUUCUUUUCCUCGGGGUACUUAGAUGUUUCAGUUCCCCCGGUUCGCCUCAUUAACCUAUGGAUUCAGUUAAUGAUAGUGUGUCGAAACACACUGGGUUUCCCCAUUCGGAAAUCGCCGGUUAUAACGGUUCAUAUCACCUUACCGACGCUUAUCGCAGAUUAGCACGUCCUUCAUCGCCUCUGACUGCCAGGGCAUCCACCGUGUACGCUUAGUCGCUUAA
RNAcentral lists this ribosomal RNA (2900 nucleotides) under Escherichia coli DEC6E. RNAcentral describes it as "23S ribosomal RNA". Lineage: Bacteria; Pseudomonadati; Pseudomonadota; Gammaproteobacteria; Enterobacterales; Enterobacteriaceae. The record is from RNAcentral.